This 1192-nucleotide long non-coding RNA is filed under the name Heterocephalus glaber (naked mole-rat). RNAcentral's name for it is "lncRNA (ENSHGLG00100034263.1)". Lineage: Eukaryota; Metazoa; Chordata; Mammalia; Rodentia; Bathyergidae. The record is from RNAcentral.
AGAACCAACAGCAGGAAUGGAGCUUCCUGCCCAAUGCUGGGCUUUAGUCUCAGCUGCAUGGGUUCGAGUCCUCAGUCUAAUGUUCCCAUGGGCAAUGAGAGGGAAGUGACUUGGCCUCUCUGGACAUUUGCUUCCCUAGUAGCAGAACAUGGUUAAUAAUGCUCCACCCAUAAUUAUCUCCAGAAUUUAAAACCAGGCAUGGUCCUUGUGAAUAUACCACAGACCACUGAACUGUACACUUAAAAAUGGUGAAAGGCCAGGGGUUUAACUCAGUGGUGCCAAUGCCUGCCUCGAAAAUGCAAGGCCCUGAGUUCGAUCCCCGGUACCAAAAAAACCCCCAAAAUGGUGCUGUUUGUGGUGUGUGAAUAAUAUCUUUUUAAAGAAAUGUAAGUAUGUCGUGUUUGGUCCAGCUUUUUGAUAAUAAAACAGGGGUGCCAGGGAUUUAGCUCAGUGACACCGUGCUGGCUUCAAAAGCACAAGGACCCAAGUUUGAUCCCUAGUACCAAAAGAAAAGUAAACAGGGGUGAUCACUGCUAGCAACAGAAUUUCCCAAGUGGCCCCACACCAGGCUGGCCACACAGCAGGUGAUGGAGAACAUAGCCCACAAGCAUGUUUUUCUGCUGGGCACAGUGGCACACGCCUAUAAUCCCAGCAUUUGGAGGCUGAGGCAGGAGGAUCGCCACAAGUUCAAGGCCAGCCUGGGCUACAUAGUGAGACUUUGUCUCAAAAAAAAAAAAAAAAGCAUAUUUUUCUGUGCCUAGCAUAUGAGGCUGGGGACCCAGAGGUUUCCAGUCCUCAGCACAAGCUGCCUGGUGUCUGUCUCACCAGAGGAUAGAAUGCUAGCCCCACCUUCACAGGAACAGAAGAUAACCUGGGACCUGAAGACUUGGAUGCUCCAAGGCAUGGCCACCCACUUCAGGCAUCUGACCUUAUGUUUUCUUUAUCCAGUCUUUUACAGAGCUGUGGUUUCAAACACAUUCAUAGCCAUGUUUUGGUGGCAGAACCGAGCUCGGCUGUUCCUGAGCCACGGAAAGCAGAACCGCUCGCCCGCGCCGCGCCGGAGGAACGCGUUCUGCUGUUCUUCUCCACUCCCCAGGGUGUGAUGUCUUGGGAAUCCACUUCCAACAGAACCCGUGGCCCAUCUGCCACAGGCGCGGCCCAGGGGCGCGAAGCUUCCGGCUCGGCCCCAGGC